UGUAGAAGACUAGAAGUAAAGUUUGCUAUUUUUCUUGGUUCCACAUUCACCUCUCAAGCUAAUCUGCAGAAAUAAACAGAAUCUUGGAUGUGUUUGUCAUUGUUCUUCAGUGUCAAUUUUGAUCUUGCAUACACUGCACAAAGUUGACAUAGUAAUAUGGCAAAAUUUAAUAUGAUCUAUCUGGGUUUCCUUUCUGACAAAGGGCAAGUAUGUGAAAGAAAUAGUUCUCAAAACCCUUUUAUUUGAGGAUAUAACAAAUAAAAGCCAUUAUGCCUAGGAAAAUUCAGUUCCAGAACAACAAGAAUUUUUGAACCAAGAUGUUAGGAAGGCAUUCAUUAUUAGCAUAACCAAUUUAAACCUAUGAUAUACCAUUAAUUAUGGUGAUGGUAAGUGACUUUGAAACCAAAGGGUAAAGAAUUUGUAGGAUCUCUUAAAGCUAGAUUCUGCAUCACAUUUAUUUGGAUAACUGCCUGAAAUUUAUUCAUGCAUGAGAUCCAGUGUUGAAACUUAAGAAUCUGGUUGUUUAUAAUGUGAGUUAACUUAGAUCAGAUCUUCUUUCUUCAUGCUAAUGGGAGCCUGUUUCGUUCAACAUGUUUAAUUUGGAAAUGAAUAAAAUUUUCUUUCUGUGAAAUGAAAUAAAUGUACUCCUUAUUGCCUUAAUGAAGUACAUUUACCAAUUCUUCAUACUGGUUAUUUUCCUGCUAGACAGUUUUGGCACUGUGUAUUAGAAUUAGUGCUAAACUAAAUUUGAUACUGUAACUACAUUAGUUUGAUGACUAUAAUCUUUUUCAGGAAAACAUUGAUUCUAAAAGUGUUUUUGUAAUGAACUUACAGGAAUAGGCUUUAAAAGUGUGUUUCUGAUCUCCAGCAAACCCCACAUCUUCAGCAAUGGGUAUCAGAUAAGGUUCAAUGAAGAACCAUCACCCGACUGCAACCUAGGUUACAUCGUGCCUGAGUGGGUUGAGUCGAACCCAAACCUCUCUGACAUACAAAAUAUAUAUGGUUCCUCAAAAAGCCUUCCUUCAACUACUAUAAUCUUGCCUUUGAAGAGUGAGAAGGAGUUGACUGUAAAAAAACAAUUGUCAAGUUUACAUCCAGAGGUCCUACUAUUCCUUUCUAAAGUUAGACAACUAUCUGUGAGGGAAGACAAUGAUGAUCCAAAGCUUAACACUGUCAGUCAAAUCUCUAUAUCAAGUGAAGCUAAUUACCAGAUGAGAAAGAACUUGAAUGCCGAAUCAUACACCCUUCAUCUUGCCGCUCAUGAGGUUGACAAAAAUGAUGAAGAAGCAUGCUCCUACUACAUGUGGAAGCAAAAGUUCCCUGUUAAGCCCGAAAGCAUUGUGAAGAAGAGGAUGGAAGUUGAGGAAUGGGUAAUUACUCUGGCUUUUCCCUCUGGAAGACGAUUGAAUCGAGGGAUGAAAUUGUCUGGAAUAUUCUCCU
Molecule: long non-coding RNA, 1440 nt
Filed under: Musa acuminata (dwarf banana)
Lineage: Eukaryota; Viridiplantae; Streptophyta; Magnoliopsida; Zingiberales; Musaceae
Description: long non-coding RNA (MACU_LNC004948)
Source: RNAcentral